AUACGUAGGGUGCAAGCGUUAAUCGGAAUUACUGGGCGUAAAGCGUGCGCAGGCGGUUUUGUAAGACAGUGGUGAAAUCCCCGGGCUCAACCUGGGAACCGCCAUUGUGACUGCAAGGCUGGAGUGCGGCAGAGGGGGAUGGAAUUCCGCGUGUAGCAGUGAAAUGCGUAGAUAUGCGGAGGAACACCGAUGGCGAAGGCAAUCCCCUGGUCCUGCACUGACGCUCAUGCACGAAAGCGUGGGGAGCAAACAGGAUUAGAUACCCUGGUAGUCCACGCCCUAAACGAUGUCAACUGGUUGUUGGGGAUUUAUUUUCUCAGUAACGAAGCUAACGCGUGAAGUUGACCGCCUGGGGAGUACGGCCGCAAGGUUAAAACUUAAAGGAAUUGACGGGG
This 395-nucleotide ribosomal RNA is filed under the name uncultured bacterium. RNAcentral describes it as "partial 16S ribosomal RNA". It matches the Rfam family "Bacterial small subunit ribosomal RNA", at positions 523 to 918 of the family's 1533-position model. The record is from RNAcentral.